GUUGCGAAGCAGGAAGAAACAAAUAAAUUGAACUUAAUUGGAGCUGCAGGCCACAAGGACACGUGUCACUCAUGUAUUGGCCCUGCACAUUAUAUUGCAGGUGAGCCGAAUCCCGUACUUCCUUUAAACUAUCGGAAUGGACAUUUGUGUGUUGGACGUUUUUAGGAGAAGAUAGGACGGCUGAUUAUUAUUUUGAAGAGAGAUAACGUUAAUUUGUGUUUCUUCUUCUACAUGUACAAGGAUGGGUAAAUUUUUACAUUUUUGACCUGCGGGGAAAGAAAGUUCAUCUCUUGUACGUUAUCUAAUUGCACAAAAAUAAGAGUUGCAUGAUUUUAUUUGAUCUGAGUUGUAAUAGCCUAGGCCAAAUCAAUGGUUCAUAUUUUUCAAUUCAAUAUUAUGGGCCUUUUUGACUGUUUUUUUUACCGAGAAGUUUAUAGAUUGAUCUAGAACGUAAUGUUUAUCCAUGCGACCAGAUAAACGGUUCAUUAUUUCUGAUUAACAUGAGAAUUUCUUGGGAGUCUAUAAUUAGUAUAAGUAAGUAUAUAAGUAUAUAGCUAUAGAAAUAGAAGUAUAGAUAUUGAUAUAGAUAGAUAGAUAGAUAUAGAUAUAGAUAGAUGAUAUGGCCAAAUCUUUUUUUAUUAUAUUUGAGUGGAUGGGGAGUAAAUGUUCUCUAGCGACAACUCUAUAAGAUAACAUCAUGUAUGCUUCUGGAACAAACAGAAACGAGAAUCAGAUAUGGACGGGAAAACUAUUCUUCUUUGCGUUACGGUGCUUGUGCUGCUAGGAAAUUCAGGCCAUGCUCGGAAUUGCCAUACCUAUCGUGCAUUCUGGGAACCUUUUAUUUGUUUUCCUGUUACUUGCCAGGCAACAUGCGAGCAGAAGUGGCGGAAUCUCCUUGAUCACUCAUAUUGUCAUGCUGAUAAUAUUUUGGUAAACUCUUGUAUGUGUGUUGUCUGUGAUAAGUGACUAUAUCGAAUUGCACUCACCAUCAUGUCAAACAAUGGAAAAUGAUGUACAGUAAUAAAAUAUUGUGUUGACAUGCA
Aegilops tauschii subsp. strangulata is the source of this 1043-nucleotide long non-coding RNA. RefSeq lists it as uncharacterized. Lineage: Eukaryota; Viridiplantae; Streptophyta; Magnoliopsida; Poales; Poaceae. The record is from RefSeq and is a predicted model, not a curated record.